CUUUAAUUGUUCUGUUCUAUUCAAUUCACAAUGAUGUGAAAUAUAAAAAUAAAUAGCAGAUCCUAACAUAUAAGAAACUGAAACCAGCACCUUGACCCUCAAUGCCGGAUUAAAGCGCUCACACCAUAAAUGUCCAGUCAGCUUAUCAAUUAAUCAACCAGCUGUUUUUGAUGCAGCAAAUUCAACUGUAAAAAAUGUGAAAUCGCCCCCCCACGACGCCCCGUGGUACUCACGGGAAGGAUUACGGGAGAGACAGGAGAAAACACAACUAUGUUCUUACAACACGCGGAAGAGGUCGGCUUGUCCACAGGCUACGAUUCGUGAAAUUAAUUACUGUUCGCACUGCCUCUCCUUUAACGACCCCCCCUCCUCCCAUCCCCUUCCUCCCCCGUUACAUUUUCCCACCUCGACACCCCUUUGCUCCCUGUCACAACUCUUCCUCCACCUGUCACAGUUUCAGAGUUCUUCUUCCUCCUCUCCGUUACCCCCCCUCCUCCUCCCCCUCCUCUCCCUGCCUCCCCUGCUGCCAGUUUUUAACUACACUCCACUCUGGCCUCUGCUCUACUUGUUACAGCCCCAACACGAGUGCAAACAAUCAAAGUCUUUGGGAACGCUAAAAUAUGCAUGGCUAUCCGUGACAGACAGAUAAAGCAGGGCAAUUAGCCACGUAAUCCUAGAGCAUCGUACGGAAUAGUCCGCCUCAGCUGUCCCCCCCCCACUUCCUCCCUCUCUACCCUCCUUCCCUUUACUCUCUUGGUCUCCAUUAGUUAAAUGUACUCUGUGUGUCGGCUCCCCAUCAAAUCAAGUAACACUUCCCCUAAUUGGCUUAUAAAUAAUACAGCAGGGCCUGCAUUAUAAUUUCAUCAGUGGUAAACAUUGCGGGGGCAGUUGGUGAAAAACCUAUCCCUCAUUAAUUUCUUAAUUUGGGUAGAUGGAACGGAGAGGAAGGGAGGGAAUAAAAGGUGGAGAGAGAGCGAGAGAGCGAGCGGAUGAACGGAGCGACUCGUAUCACCUCAGGCGGAGGCAGAAAGAAGAUGGAGAAAAUUACAAAACAAACAAGGGGAGGAAGAUGCUUCUGCUGCUGCUUUUGUUAAGAGGUGUCAGAUAUUCGAUCCAGGGGUUUUGUCAGUACUUCCGAGCAUUAGGUGUGCGAGGACCCCGCCGUCCCUAGUCAACACACAAAUACACACUAGCAAAUCGCACAUCUCUCUCAUGAAUCACAUUCUUUGUUCUUGUUUUUAAUGCAGACUUAAUGCACAUUUCAUAACGAGCAAUAUAAAUAUUCAUUUUAAUGGUUUUGCACAUAGUUAUUACCGGUAUCUCCCUCUAAAAUACUCAUUAUAAACACAUAACCAGGCCCUGAAAUAAAUUCUCUCAUUCUCGGUCUUGCACAGAGAUUAUCUAGAUCAACUGCUCAGUGUUUCAGCCAGAAGUCACAGGAACUAUUGUGAAAAUCCUCUAAAAAAACAUCUGCUUUUUGCUUUAAGUGUAAUCAUUUGUGUGUGUACGACACACGUAUCCAUGGGAGAGGCCCGAUGUUCAUCUACGUCUUCCGUCAUCGGCUACAAUCGCAAAGACAAUUGUGAGAAAUCCGUUAAAGACGGCCCGUGUGAUGAAAUCCUUUUUGUAAAAGGCAAUAGGCACAGAGAGCCCAUCAGCCUUCAAAAGAAAAGUUAAGCGCUGCACAUUCUCGGCGAGAUUUAGAAAAUGGAGCCACCUGAAGGCAAUCUGUCUGGGCUGGAACCUCAGCCUGUCACCAAUACAGAGAGCUGUCACGUCGCGCUGUCACGCCGCGCUGCCACGUCGCGCUGCCAGCGCUGAUGGAGACAGACAUCCAUCAUGCCACCCGACGUCUUGCAGGCGCCGCUGAACAUCUGUGUUUCACUAAAGAUCCACCGAACGGCACGCCGAGGCACAGCCACCGGGGCCUCUUGUUCUCUUCCCCGUCGCCUUGAAGGGAGAAAAAGGGCAAAAUAAAGUUCUAUAGCGACAAACAGCCGACUGUCCAUCAAUCAAACUUAGGGCCCAUUAAGCAAAACCCUUUAGCUGAGAGAAGUUACCCGAGGACGGGCUGUGAAAUGCCUUUAAGAAGCAAAUGUUCUCAUUGUCGUCACAGCUUUCAACAUAUGAUAAUGAAAACCACUAAAGCACAGAUAUCUGCUCUUUUACGUCCCUUUAAACUGUAAUGUUCAUCUCAGGUGUAACUGACAUUUACACAGCGGCCCCCAGGUCAGGAACCUGUGAUUUAGACAAACGGUUCAUAAACACGAAACAUGUCAUUUCUCUUCAAAGACAAAAACAUGAUAUUGGUUGUCAGAAAGACUUUAAGUCUGUGAUCUGACCUGAUUUAAGAAGCGUCCUUUAGAAAUAAACAAACACUGUGAUUGGUCUACGGAGGAGCACCUGAGCUCAGGCCUUAGCAAAUGGUUGAUUGGGAAAAUAUGCUCUGCAGAGCCACUAACAAAUGUGCCAUUAUUUAAAUCACCACGAGCUAAUUGCCACCUGGUAAAACCUAAAAUAUCUAGAAUCUUUGGGCCCCCCGAGGGUCUGCAGGGCCGGGGGCCCGGGGGCACGUUGCCUGCUUUGCCCGGUUGGAAUCCAUCUCUGUAUGCAGCUUCACUCAUUCAUUCAUUUUUUGGGAGCAUUGAUUGACACAAAUAAACCCUGGGAUGUGUGUGUGUGUGUGUGUGUG
This is a long non-coding RNA of Gasterosteus aculeatus aculeatus (three-spined stickleback), 2692 nucleotides long. The record is from Ensembl. NCBI's taxonomy places the organism in Eukaryota, Metazoa, Chordata, Actinopteri, Perciformes, Gasterosteidae.